Molecule: long non-coding RNA, 12001 nt
Filed under: Salvia miltiorrhiza (redroot sage)
Lineage: Eukaryota; Viridiplantae; Streptophyta; Magnoliopsida; Lamiales; Lamiaceae
Description: long non-coding RNA (SMIL_LNC006844)
Source: RNAcentral
GGAGAGAUCUUGUCGGGGUCAACAUCAUCAUCUGGCAUCUCAAAGUAGGACGUCACAAAUUCAACAUCUUCCUCAAUAAUAGUGCUCUUAGGAUCUGGAUCGUACCAUACCUCUGUUGCUUGUGUUACACUCCGCAAGGUUGUAUACUCCAGAGCGCACUGGACAUUUUUGGCCUUCUCCUUAGUUUUGCUUACACCAGGCUUCAAGUAUACCGAGAGNAGGUAAUCUGUUUCUGCAUACACAGCAGCAUCAAGAAGAAUGUCCACUGUUCUCAAAGGAGCAUCUCAUCAUGGGGCCAGUAUCGUUGCGAUUGAUACCAUGACGGGUGAUGGCCAUCAAGUGACCACGAUAUGUCAUGGUAUCACACAAUAUAGCCAAAAUGUCUAUAGUUCACGUAAGACCCAUCAAAUGAUAUGACAACACGCAACUCAUCCAGCAAGGCUUUGCGAACUGCCUCAAUGCCAAGAACUUCAAUAACUUCAAUCAAAUGAUUGCUUGUUGUCCUACUUGCAUCUACAUCUUCAUGGCAAAUUACAGCUAAAAGAUUAACACCUUCGGUGUCAAGCAUCCACUCAUUCUCAGCCUUGAAGCCUUCAUUUUCAUCAAACUUAUUUACCUUGCCAUUCUUUAUGAACACCUUAUUGAUAUCUGGUAUGCCUCGAAGAGCCAUUUCUGUAAGCAUGUUACCCUCUAAUCUUUUUGUAGGAAGACAUCAUCCUCAGCAGAUUCAUCAUUCAACUCACCUUUAGGGGCUUCAUCAUUCAUAAUACGAAUACGAAGGAUAAGCUUUUCAGCAUUAUCAUCAUUAAAUAUGCACGUUAGAUCACUAUCAAAUUCAGCAUUAAUCUUAUGGGAAAUAUCAGCCAUGUUGAGUUUCUUAUCCACCAUCAUUUCUCUGUUUAACUCUAUGCGAAGCAACCACGGAGAGAUCUUGUCGGGGUCAACAUCAUCAUCUGGCAUCUCAAAGUAGGACGUCACAAAUUCAACAUCUUCCUCAAUAAUAGUGCUCUUAGGAUCUGGAUCGUACCAUACCUCUGUUGCUUGUGUUACACUCCGCAAGGUUGUAUACUCCAGAGCGCACUGGACAUUUUUGGCCUUCUCCUUAGUUUUGCUUACACCAGGCUUCAAGUAUACCGAGAGAGAGGGUGUUUUAAUUUUCUUAGCAACAUUAAUAAUCUCCCUCAACCUUGGAACACCUAAAGUUAACAAUUCUUGGCACUCACACCAGCAUAGUGAAAUGUAUUGAGGGUCAUCUGUGUAGCAGGUUCACCAAUGGAUUGUGCAGCAACACAUCCUAUCAUUUCACCAGCAGCAACAAGUGACUGAAGAAAACGGGAUUCUAUCUCGCCAACUACCCAGUCAAAAGCCUCACGGGUAAGUCUGUACUCCUUCAGGACCCUUUUACUUGCUAAAGCACUACGAAGCAAUAUAUUGAAGAAAAGAGUAGCAUUCUUCUGUGCUUCCAAACUCAGAUAAUCAUCACCAACAACCACCUUAAGCCUUUCUUGUAACUUAUCAACAGCUUCUACAAUCUCCAUUGGAUGCAUAUCAGACGGUCUCCGAAAAUCAACUCUAAAGGUCUUCUGUGCAUUCAAAACAAGCCUCUUGAUGUUGACAGGGAGGGGCCAAGAAUUGUCACCCGUGGUGGCAAUCUCUGUUCCAAGUUGAUACCUAUCGGCUUCAAGUUUCUGAACCUCUGCAUCAAACACACUGCGGAUUUCACGAAUCGUUUUCAGAUCUUCCACAGCUUCAGGUAACAUAUAAUUAGGAUUCCAGUUUGGGUGAUCAAUCUCAUAUUUGUACAUGUCAUUGAAAUCCGAUCUCUUCAACUUCAGUGAUUCCAAAGGCUGUGAUUCAAUCCAAACUGCAUCCAUACCAUCUUCCCCGUACAGAAACUGAAUCACAUCACCUAACGAAUUCCUAACAGUCCCAUCAUACUUAACCAUGAUAUCUUCCAUAGCCUUCACCAAUCGCCUCUGAAUAUAUCCAGUCUCAGAAGUUUUCACUGCAGUGUCAAUAAGACCUUCCCUACCACCCAUGGCAUGGAAAAAGAACUCUUGAGGAGACAAUCCUCGAAGAUAUGAGUUCUCCACAAAACCACGACUCUCUGGACCAUAAUCAUCUUUGGUGAAGUGUGGAAGUGUGCGAUCCACAAAACCAAAAGGAAUUCGCUUGCCUUCAACAUUCUGCUGACCCACACAUGCAGUCAUCUGAGAAAUAUUGAUGAAACUUCCCUUAGACCCUGCAGUGACCAUAGCUUUGAGGUUGUUACUUUCUGCCAAGCUCUUCUGAGCACUGCUUCCAGCAUCAUCACGAGCCUUAUUCAACACCUGAAGGCACAAAACAUAUAUAAGGGAAUCACCAGGCUGCAGCAAGGAAAUCAAAAUUUUUAACAAACCUGGUUAACUCUGUUCUCGAACGAUUCCAUCAUUGUUCUUCCUGGCUCAGCUUCCAAUUGCUUUUCUUGUGCAGCCCUGAUAAGUUCAUUCACCUCAUUCUUAGCUUUGUUAAUAGUUUCAGAGAUCUUCGUCAUUGUAUCAUGAUCAGCAAUUGUAUCUCCAAUUCCCAUGCUAAAAGCGUUCUGCAAAAGCCAAUAAUUGACCAGCCAUUGUGUAUGUCCCAAAAAUUUCCGAGCUGCAUCUGGACCGACUUCUUCCCUGAGACCAGUAUACAUUAUAUUAAACACAUAAAUAUGAAUAAAGAAUCUUUCGGGCUUUCAGUUCAUUAUUAUAAUAUUUAUUACUCCUUGUUUCAUGUGCCAUAUCAUAUGUUUUGAUGUCACAAAUGCUAUAAUAUUCACACAGAAGAGCUACUAGAGUGGAGGAAGACUGAUAUAUGCAAAAGCUAAAUUGUUAAAGAGUACAGAAAUUUUCAAUAAGAUACUCAUGUAGUUUUAAACUUCUGAAGAAAAUUAAUCUUCUCUUCUACAAAUUCCGAUGGAGUAAGCAAAGGAACACUUUCUUGAAAUGGCAUUAGUUUUAUUGAUAUCUAUAAUGAGUGCAAGCAUGGAGAUUGAUAAAGUGUUUUGUCUGCAAAGAAACAGUACCCAUUUUUUUGUGCCAAAAGGAGAAUCUUUUUGCUAGUGAAAAGAGAGGGUAUUUCAUUGGUAACUCAAGCAAGUUCUUUUGAAAGUAUUACUUCUUCAAUCAACAUAUUGCGAGUUCUGACUCAUUUGCGAGAUCCUAGAAUAUAUAAAUAAAAGACACCAACUUCAUUUAAAGUAUUUGCAUACAUAUGCUCCCAAUCCCCAUUGCCCAUAGAGCAAUGGACCAAUUUAAUACAACAUGAAUUCUUCAGAAGAUAAAAGUGAAAGUCAUGCUUUUGCUCUUAAAUUUAAGGUUGAACGAAAAAUGUGACCCGCAAACAGCCCCAUACCUCCAUUUUACCCAACUUUCCACUUAUUACAUUUUGCUACUAGAUACUUCAGGUAUGUUACCCGCAAUCAGCCCCAAUUCAUAAUAUGGAUAAGUUGGGUGGGCGUUUAGGAGACAAUAGUUUCCUUUCAAAACCCACCAAAUGCAGAAAUGGUACUGCAAAAAUUCCAGAAAGAACGUACCAAAUAACAUGUAUGAGACUUCCACUAGAUGACCCGAGUGUUUUCUUGCAUAGGGUGCCUGAAAGUAACUCCCCUUUUUCUAUCCGUACUUGAGUAUCCCCAGGAGUAAUAAAUCCUUUUUCAGUUUCUUGAUGCCAUGAAGAAUACCUUAAUAGAUUUAUCUGUCUUGGAAUGAUUAAAUUAAAUACUUGUUUCCCAGUCCAAAGAGGCUUAGGUUUCAGAAUUGUUGGAGCAGGUACUUUGCCAUCAAAAUCCUCCCACCACAUAAGGAUGUUCAUAAAAACAUCCUGCGAACAAUACAGACAGCGAUAUCAGAUUGAAUGUGGACACUUACCUAAAAAUUACAUAAUGAUGACAGAAAAUCAAAUGUUACCUUGUCAAUAAAAGUAUCUCUCUUAGUGAUUUUGCGACAUCCUAGUAGUGUAUCCUGCACAAUACCCAUUACAGGUCGAUUUGAUUGAGGUGACACGAUGCAUUUUGGAACCAUCAUUAAUUCCAGAACUUCGGCUCUAGUUUCAAAUGACUGGGGCACGUGCAUAUUCAUUUCAUCUCCAUCAAAAUCAGCAUUGUAGGGUGAGGUAACAGACAGAUUUAAGCGGAAUGUUGAAUAUGGCAUAAUCUUGAUUCUGUGGCCCAUAAUGGACAUCUUAUGGAGACUCGGUUGCCGAUUGAACAGGACAAAGUCUCCAUCAUUUAAAUGUCUCUCAACCUGUACCAUCAAAUAAUAGGAAUCAGGUGUCAAAAGGAAUCCAAUGCUUGAUCAUUCUCAAUUAUAUAGCUGGGAGUCUCACCUUAUAUCCAAGUUCUAGAUGCUGAUCACUACUCUUUUUCAAGUACCGGAGAUCAAGCCUCUGUCCAUCAUCCCUAAUAAUAUAUUUUGCGCCAGUUUUACCAGGAGGGGGAUGAGGUCCAUAUUCCACAAGCUCUUUCAAUCUAUUUUCAAGGUCAAUAUCUGGUUAACAAGAAUAACCAAAAAGUAUAGAGGGAUCACUAUCAAGAAAUAUGGUAAGAGUGCCUAACCUUUCGAUGUUAUAUGGAGUUACAGUUUCAGGAUAUGUAAGAUUUAAGGCAAUACUCCAAGGCACACCCAGCUGGUCGAUGUUGAUUGUUGGGUCAGGUGUAAUCACAGUCCGAGCCGAAAAAUCUACUCGCUUACCCAUCAAGUUACCUCUGAUCCUACCAUCUUUUGCCUUAAGCCUGCUACAUAUUGAUUUAAUGGGUCUGCCAGAUCUUUGGGUAGCCUGAUGUAUACAAGGAUACUUCACUUGUUAGAUAAAUGAUGUUCCAGGAACUGCAUCCACAGUCUCAAUAUACUGAAAUAAUAUAACAUACUCUUGGUUGACCAGGUAAAUCGUUAUCAAAGUAUGUAGCCACAUGGAACUGCAGCAACUGUGCAAACUCAGAGAUGAUGUGUGCAGGAGCCCCAUUCCGCUCCUGCCUCUUUAAGUUCUCAUUAUGCCUAAUGAUCAUGGCCAGUUGAUGAGUUAAAUCAUCCUGCAUAAAUUGAUUCAAUUAUUAGAUUCUCCUGCAACUUAAAAGCAGCAAUCCGAGGAACAUGCAAUUGAUUGACUUGAUCAGUUUGCAGUGAACAGAACCCGAUACACUUAUCUGACCUAAAGGAACAAUUAGGGGUAAUCUAAACACCCAUGACAUUGUAGAGAUCAAAAGGAGAAGUCAUGCCUCACUCCGAGAAGAAGUAUCCAUCAUUACAGAAGGCCUAACUGGAGGAGGAGGGAUUGGAAGAACUUGAAGAAUCAUCCAGUCAGGGCGAGCAUAUUUUGGAUUCAAGCCCAACAACUGACAAUCUUCAUCAGUAAUUCUCUUCAGUAUGCUGAGCACCUGAAACAAAAAGGAAAUAGAGAUUGUUGGGAUUAGCGCAUAAAUCAAUCUAUCACAUUAUCCAGGCUGGAAAAAAAAGUUUGAAUCCCUAUUCUCUGGCAAUUUAUGAUAUAUGAUACCUUCUCUGCAGAGAGAAGUUGUUUUCGUUCAACAGGUUCAGGCAUCUGGUCCUGGUCAUCACUUUUCUUCUUCUGAAUCUUGUAUUCAGCAACCAUUUUCAUCCCAUCUAUAGAAAUCUUUGGCUGCUGAGCACCGCAUCCACCCCUAGACUUCUUCACAGGUUCUUCCGAAUCUUGACCUCGCACAUCGAUCUCAUCACCUCCUUCACAUUUGGAUUUGUUUUUGCAGGCAUCUAAUAUCUUCUUUAAUCUAUUCUUAGGGUUUCUAAUUCUCAUUGCUUGCUUGAACUUGGGAUCGUCCUAGAAAAAUUAACAAGGGAUCAAAAUACAUUGCAAAAGAAAACGAUUGUUCCAACUUCCAAGUAACUUUAUUUCCAUUUGAAGUAUAAUAUUCAGGCAAUAAUGAAAAUAACUAACUUUUACAACAGCAACACUCCUAGGAGAUGCAUCCAGAUGAUGAAAUACCUCAAACUGCUUCUAUCUUACCAAUAUGCAUUUCUAUAAAAGUAACACAAUUAUUGAAGACAUAACAGAACCUAGAAGCCUAAAACUGGAUCGUUGCUAGUCAUAAGUCUUACUAUCCAGUCACUCUUGCAAGUAAUAAGAAUGUUACAAUUAAAUCAGUUGCCCAGUUCAGGAUGGUCAUGAAUAAGACAGAAGUCUGACCCUCCUAGUAUACGAACAUAUACAUGAAAUAAGCAUUUUCCGUGAAUCCAGCAUAUGUUAUACACUUCUGAAAAAUUCAGUCUGCUACUCAGGCCUCACAACAGCGGAAUCAAUAGUCAUACCCAAUAUGAACCAAGUGAGCAUGACUGUACAAAUUCAUACUACUUAAACCGAAAACGUCCAUAACUUCAAUCUAACUACUCGGGAAAUGUACAAUACCUCAUCCGCUAAAAUCUUAGAGCAAUUGAAGCAGACACUGCGGAGAAUACUGAGCACAGUCUUCAUGAAGCCAAUGUGAAACAUAGGUUUGGCGAGCUCAAGGUGACCGAAGUGACCGGGGCAGUCAGCCAUGUUCGCCAUACAAGUCUCGCACUUCAUCUUCCGAUCAAUCGUCCCCAGACGCGGGUCGCUCAAACCACCGAUCUUCGGCUUGCCUCUUUCCGUCGUCUCGCUGUGCUCUAUAUGCACAACAGACAUUUGUCUCUACAAAACACACCAUAAAACAAUAGACCAUCAUUUCCAACUCAAUCACACACUCAAUGCCGAAACUGAAAGUUCAAAACAUUCAAAGAAGUGAGAAUUACGAUCUCAUCGGGGCUGAGAAUGCCGAAUUGGACGACGCGGACUUUCGCGACCUCUGCCGGCGAGAAGGGGAACCGCAGAUCCAUUGCGACACCGGAGAUUCUACCCUAGGGUUUUCGAUUAUGAUUUAUUAUGCUAGCUGAUAUAUAAUAAUUCCAAAAUUAGAAACAAAUAUGGUUUUCAAGUACUUCAAAUUAUUCGCGGUUUCUGUUAAGUAACUGAUUUUUGGGGUUUUUGAAGAAAACUUUUUUCACGCUGCGCUCUUCUCUGAAGGAGGAGAGGCGGCUUUGAGACCAAAGAAGAGAAUGAGGGGUUGAAGGGGUAUUUAAAGAGAUGGAUGGCUUCGAAGUCGGCGCUUAAUGGGGUUGUUUGGCUACACAGUUAUGAGCUGGACAUCUUCCUCUCGUUUGGUCCAUCUAUUAAAAAAUCUUCUUAAUCUAUUUUUAAACAUAAUUUCAUCAACUAUUAUCCUUAUAAUUUUCAUUUUUUGUAAGACUCAUUUUUCACUUAUCAAGUAUACAAUUAAUUUUUAUUAAAAUUCAUGUCACCCUCCUUUAUAAAGAUCUUUGAGAAAUGAAGGGAGUGUUAAUUCCAAAUAUUUGGUAAAAUAAGUACAUAAAUACUCAUUUCGUCCCAACUUUUAGUAUCAAUUUAAGAAUGACACGUGUUUUAAUAAAGUUGUUAAGUGUGUUGUGAGUGGAAUAAGGGUCUCGCAUUUUACGUGAAUGUUAAAAUAAUUAAAGUGGAGUAAGGGUCUCACCUACUUUUACUAAAAAUAAAAAUGAAUAUCAAAAUAUGGAACGGCCAAAAAAGGAAAUAUGAAUACUAAAAGUUGGGACGAAGAUAGUAGUUUACAAGCUCUACAAAUAAGUUUCUACAAUUUAUAAGCUUUUCAAACUACAAACUUUUUACCAUAAAUUACUUUUUCAUAAUUUUAUACUUCCUUCAUCCCAAUUCNCUUAUAAUUUUUCAUUUUUUUGUAAGACUCAUUUUUUCACUUAUCAAGUAUACAAUUAAUUUUUAUUAAAAUUCAUGUCACCCUCCUUUAUAAAGAUCUUUGAGAAAUGAAGGGAGUGUUAAUUCCAAAUAUUUGGUAAAAUAAGUACAUAAAUACUCAUUUCGUCCCAACUUUUAGUAUCAAUUUAAGAAUGACACGUGUUUUAAUAAAGUUGUUAAGUGUGUUGUGAGUGGAAUAAGGGUCUCGCAUUUUACGUGAAUGUUAAAAUAAUUAAAGUGGAGUAAGGGUCUCACCUACUUUUACUAAAAAUAAAAAUGAAUAUCAAAAUAUGGAACGGCCAAAAAAGGAAAUAUGAAUACUAAAAGUUGGGACGAAGAUAGUAGUUUACAAGCUCUACAAAUAAGUUUCUACAAUUUAUAAGCUUUUCAAACUACAAACUUUUUACCAUAAAUUACUUUUUCAUAAUUUUAUACUUCCUUCAUCCCAAUUCAAUAGGCCACAAGACAAGGCUUGGACAUGGAUAUUAAGAAGCGAAUAGUUUAUAAUAAAAUACGAGAGAGAAAGUAGCUUUUUUUAGAGUAAAUUUGUGAAAAAAGUAGGAGAGAGUAGAGAUAAUUUUGUGGGAUCACAAUGAUAUUUGAUGUACAUAAUGAGUUGUGCGAAGGUGUUUGUUAUAUACUAUGAUUUUUUAUUUUAGGAAGUGACCUAUUGAAUUGGAACGUCCAAAUAAGGAUUCAUGACAUAUUUAAAUGGAACUGAGGGAGUAAUAUAUUUUACAAAAAUUAUUCAAUUAUACUUUAUUACUAUUUUCAUCAUAUACACUUUAAACCACUUUGCAAAAAUUAACUCAAUCAUAUAAAUACUUUCACAACUUAUAAGCUCUUACAAAAAUACAUUUUUAAAAUUUUUGAAACAUUUUAUAAAUUGCUACAAUUAUAAAUUUCUUAAAAUAAGCUUAUCCAAACAUCCCCUUAAUUCUACAACAAAAUUUUAACAAAUGGAGUAUAAAUGAGCUAUGAUUGGUAACAUAUUUUUCCUACAAAAAUAAUAAGCGAUAGGUAACAUAACUAGCGUGGGAACUAAGAAUCAAUCUGGUCUAUUAAUUUGAUUAAAUGAUCAUGAUUGAUUUCCAUAUUGAACAAUACAUAUAUAUGAUAAUGCAUCAGUUUAUGCCAGAAAUUAUGCCAUGCUGAUAAAUAAUACUCCAUUCGUCCCAAACGAAAUGUCCUAUUUCUUUUCGGUACGGAAAUUAAGAAAUGUGUAUAAAAUAGAUUAAGUGGGUUGGUGAAAAUUAUUUAAAUAUUAAGUAUAGAGAGAGAGUGUAGUGCCAAAAAAGGAAACAUGACAUUUCGUUUGAGAUAGCCCAAAAAGGAAAACAGUACAUUUCGUUUGGAACGGAGGGAGUAUAGUGCAUACUUAUAAUAAACAACGUAGUUUUAAGUGUGGUGCCCACUUCGGGGGAGCUUGUUGGAUUUAUAAUAAACGACGUAGUUUUCAUAUAUACAAAAAAUCCUCUUCCAUUGAGAUGGUUUCUUACAUUCUUGGCUUCAGCUGCGCAUGGCUUAUCUAUGCAUGCAUUAUUUUAGUUAUAAGCAAUUUAGUAAAUAAAAUAACAAAAUGGAUGGAUUAACAUUGCCACAAAACAUGAUGACACUAUUAGUAUUUUACUUCAAAGGGGAAGAAAAAAAAACUUUAUACGAAUGAAAGAAUGCCAUGUUAAACAAUCUCUCUUAGCCAAAUUGGAAAGCUAUGAGACCAAACAAAUGGACUACAAAUUAAAAAAGAGGUUAUAAAGUGACACGGGACUUAUACGCCACGUGCGGAGUUCAGCUGCCCGACUGCCGGAGUUCAGCUGCCCGACUGCCGGCCUGGUAUGAAAAUGAUUGGGUUAGGGUAGGGUGUCCCAUGCAACAAAUCCUCAUUCCACCUUCCCUUUGUCAGUUUCAUUUACCACACUAAGCCAUGUAAACAAUACCAACACAAUCACAAAAUCAGCAAAUCUAUUCGAACUCGCUUGGCCUAUGGUGAAAGCAGGAUGGAAAAGAAAGCAAAAUAAGCAAAGGUAAAUAUACCUGCUUGGACUGGAAGGAGAAAAAGAUGGUGAUGUUGGGCUGCAAAACCACAGAAAAUAAUAUGUCAAGGUAGCAUUUGAAAGAGAGUUUCACCAGUUCAGAAUAUAUCCUAGUCUUGUCGGGGAAAUAAAACAAAAAGAGUAAUACUCUAGGGAACAAUUUAUCCAGCUUCCUCUGUGGACAAUCAAGUAUAGAAACAGAGUAAUACAUUUAACCAAGGUUAUAUUUGUUAGCAAACUUGAAGAGCAAAAAUUAAAAUAAGGCUUGCCAAAAGUUACCUGAGACUCGGAGAAUAUGGACUGUACGGACUUGAAGGUGUGAUUUUUGGACUUGUAGGUGAAUAUGCUUGUGAAGGGCUAUACCUUGCUGAAGGAUUGUAACUUGGUGAGGUCAGACUGUAAGUCGGUGAGGUGGGACUGUAUCCAGGUGAAGUUGGGCUGUAGGCAGGAGAGGUAGGGCUGUAUGAAGGUGAGGUUGGGCUGUACGAUGGAGAGGUUGGGCUGUAAGAUGGUGAGGUUGGGCUGUAAGAGGGAGACGUGGGGCUGUAAGCCGGAGAAGUUGGGUUAUAAGCAGGUGAGGUUGGGCUGUAAGAGGGAGACGUGGGGCUGUAAGCCGGAGAAGUUGGGCUAUACGCAGGUGAGGUUGGGCUGUAUGCUGGAGAAGUUGGGCUGUAGCUCGGAGAUGUAGGGCUGUAGCUCGGAGAUGUGGGGCUAUAGCUAGGAGAUGUUGGGCUGUAGGAAGGAGACGUUGGUGAAUAAGAUGGGCUUGUGGGAGAAUAGGCAGGGCUUGUAGGACUAUAUCCAGGAGAACUAGGACUAUAUGUUGGGGACGUAGGGCUGUAACCAGGGGAAGUAGGACUGUACCCAGGUGAGGUGGGGCUGUAUCCAGGAGAUGACGGGCUGUACCCUGGAGACGAUGUAGGAGAAAACGCCAUCCCGCCCACAUACGGAGAAAACUGAGCAUCUGAAACAGGAGAUAACCGAAGAUUUGGGCUCAGCAUAUAAUUUGGUGACAUCAUGCCAUCAUGAUAUGGGGUCCCUGAGAUGGGUGAACGGCCAGGAGUCAUGCCAAACUCCAGUCCACCUUCCAUAUAACUGGGCAGAGGGAUCUCCAUAGCUUGUUUUAGCAUCUCUUCAUUCAUAUACAAAGCACAAUCACCUGUGCCAAUAGGUGCAAGCUGUCCUAACAUGAUAUUCUCAGUGACACCCCUGAGGUAAUCUGUUUCUGCAUACACAGCAGCAUCAAGAAGAAUGUCCACUGUUUCUUCAAAGGAGCAUCUCAUCAUGGGGCCAGUAUCAUUGCGAUUGAUACCAUGACGGGUGAUGGCCAUCAAGUGACCACGAUAUGUCAUGGUAUCACACAAUAUAGCCAAAUGUCUAUAGUUCACGUAAGACCCAUCAAAGAUAUACAACACGCAACUCAUCAGCAAGGCUUUGCGAACUGCCUCAAUGCCAAGAACUUCAAUAACUUCAAUCAAUGAUUGCUUGUUGUCCUACUUGCAUCUACAUCUUCAUGGCAAAUUACAGCUAAAAGAUUAACACCUUCUGUGUCAGCAUCCACUCAUUCUCAGCCUUGAAGCCUUCAUUUUCAUCAAACUUAUUUACCUUGCCAUUCUUUAUGAACACCUUAUUGAUAUCUGGUAUGCCUCGAAGAGCCAUUUCUGUAAGCAUGUUACCCUCAAUCUUUUUGAGGAAGACAUCAUCCUCAGCGAUUCAUCAUCACUCCUUAGGGUCUUCUCAUUCUAAUACGAAUACGAAGGAUAAGCUUUUCAGCAUUAUCAUCAUUAAAUGCAAGAUACAUCAAAUCAAUUAAUCUUAUGGAAAAUAUCAGCCAUGUUGAGUUUCUUAUCCACCAUCAUUUCUCUGUUUAACUCUAUGCGAAGCAACCACGGAGAGAUCUGUCGGGGUCAACAUCUCAUCUGGCAUCUCAAAGUAGGACGUCACAAUUCAAUAUCUUCCUCAAUAAUAGUGCUCUUAAGAUCUGGAUCGUACCAUACCUCUGUUGCUUGUGUUACACUCCGCAAGGUUGUAUACUCCAGAGCGCACUGGACAUUUUUGGCAUUCUCCUUAGUUUUUCUUACACCAGGCUUCAAGUAUACCGAGAGAGAGGGUGUUUUAAUAUUCUUAGCAACAUUAAUAAUCUCCCUCAACCUUGGAACACCUAAAGUAACAUUCUUGGCACUCACACCAGCAUAGUGAAAUGUAUUGAG